AUCCUGUGAAGUCAGACUAACAGUGAGACUCUCUGAAAAAUGACAUUGUUCAUCCCAGAUAUGGCAGCUGGACGUCUGUUUCUGGUCGUCCUCAUUUUCUAUACCUUCCAACAUGUCAAAGCCCAAGAUUCCCUCACUCCCUCACAGUUGAAGAGUACCUAUGAUAAAAAUGACAGACUUCUACAUGCUUUGUAAGUAGGAAAACCUGCAAAAUCGGCAGUGUAUCAAAUACUUGUUCUCCCCACUGUAUCUUUGUCCUAUGUAAAUACACACACAUUUUUUAUUGUUGAAAUUCAUACUUUUUAAACAAGACUAGGGCAGUCACACUCACUAUUCGUGUCUUUUGAUGUGGUUUUUACUAGCUGAACAUUGAAAGGGAAAGACAUGGUCCAGUGUAGAUCAUCUGUUAAGAGCAUGGUGCUUGAAACAGUAGGAUUGUGGAUUUAAGUCUAACCAUAAAUACUCCACACCUGCGGAGUACCUGGUUUGGGGGGCCCGUUGCUGUCCCUGUCCUUGUCCACCUGGUCAUACUUUUGACCUAGUCUAGAAUCAAAUAGACUCUGGAUUUAGCCCAGAGAAAUUUAUUAUUCUAAUUGGACUCUUAAUAUCUCACCCGGCACAGCCAGAAGAGGACUGGUCACCCCUCAGAGCCUGGGUCCUCUCUAGGUUUCUUCCUAAAAUUCGGCCUUCUUAGGGAGUUUUUCCUAGCCACUGAAAUCCAACACUACUGUUGUUUGCUCCUUGGGGUUUAAGGCCGGGGUCUCUGUAAAGCACUUUGUGACAACUGCUGUUGUAAAAAGGGCUUUAUAAAUACAUUUGAUUGAUUGAUUGAUUGAUAAAUAAAUGGAUGCAUUUACUACUGGAAGUUGCUCUGAAUAAGUGUGUCUAAUAAAAUGCUUAUAUAAAUAAAUGUAAAAUUAAUAUCAGUGGGCCAGAUUCUUACAUAUCUCGCGCUGUUCCAUGUCUUCUAAAAGCAAACACUUCAUUAGACCUCUCGAGAGUAUGAAAUCCAUACUUUUCUCUAUAUUUCUUUUAAUAGAGAGAUUUCUAAUAAAGAGAUUGGUGUUCAUUUUUCUUUCGCUCAAAUACAUUGGAUACUUAUCAUGUGAUUUCCUUUUAGUAGGAUAACAAUAGUAAAACUGUGACUAUGAGACGUGCAGCAAGGUUUAAGAACCAUCCCUAUAUAAUGGUUAGGUAUGAUUUUCUUUUGCCCCUUCAAAUUGAUUACAUUCAUUUUAUUGAAUGGAAAAAUAAAGUAUGCUAGCAAUAUGCAAUAUUGCUUAGUGUAUUCUCCUACGUUAAUAAUACAUUUUCAGAAAAUAUUUAUUAUCUAGACACCAACGAAGAUUGGGGAAAUGUCCUACUUAAGCGCACAAUAUAACUUACUCAGUUAUUAAUCCCCCCCUUCAGUGUACAAUGUUGACACUUUCAAGCAUUAAAACCAACCUCAGAUACAUUUGCCUGAUUCUUGGCUGACGACUAAUGCAGAAUUUGACUUCUCAAUAUCUUCACCAGAUUGUUUUAGUAACAUAUGAAACUUAAACUAUAUUCAAACCCCAAAAGUACUAUGAUUUUAAACAUUUUGUUUCUGAGCUGAUAGAAUAAGCAUCUUAUCUGAUUUAGCGUCUGUCCUGAAAACAGUUAUCAAACAC
Molecule: long non-coding RNA, 1652 nt
Organism: Esox lucius (northern pike)
Lineage: Eukaryota; Metazoa; Chordata; Actinopteri; Esociformes; Esocidae
Source: Ensembl